Molecule: ribosomal RNA, 429 nt
Filed under: Chloroflexota bacterium
Lineage: Bacteria; Bacillati; Chloroflexota
Description: Chloroflexi bacterium partial 16S ribosomal RNA
Rfam family: Bacterial small subunit ribosomal RNA
Source: RNAcentral
UGGGGAAUAUUGCACAAUGGGCGCAAGCCUGAUGCAGCCAUGCCGCGUGUAUGAAGAAGGCCUUCGGGUUGUAAAGUACUUUCAGUCGGGAGGAAGGUGUCAAGGUUAAUAACCUUGGCAAUUGACGUUACCGACAGAAGAAGCACCGGCUAACUCCGUGCCAGCAGCCGCGGUAAUACGGAGGGUGCAAGCGUUAAUCGGAAUUACUGGGCGUAAAGCGCACGCAGGCGGUUGAUUGAGUCAGAUGUGAAAUCCCCGGGCUUAACCCGGGAAUUGCAUCUGAUACUGGUCAGCUAGAGUCUUGUAGAGGGGGGUAGAAUUCCAUGUGUAGCGGUGAAAUGCGUAGAGAUGUGGAGGAAUACCGGUGGCGAAGGCGGCCCCCUGGACAAAGACUGACGCUCAGGUGCGAAAGCGUGGGGAGCGAACAGG